RNAcentral lists this ribosomal RNA (119 nucleotides) under Lepisosteus oculatus (spotted gar). Lineage: Eukaryota; Metazoa; Chordata; Actinopteri; Semionotiformes; Lepisosteidae. The record is from RNAcentral.
UACAGCAGCCAUAUCACCCUGCAACUCACAACUGCCAAUCCACUGAAGCUAAGCAGAUGUGAGCCUGGUCAGUACCUGGACGAGAGACCUCCUGGGAAAAACUAAGAUUGCUGCUGGAA